Molecule: ribosomal RNA, 468 nt
Filed under: uncultured bacterium
Lineage: Bacteria
Description: partial 16S ribosomal RNA
Rfam family: Bacterial small subunit ribosomal RNA
Source: RNAcentral
GACGAACGCUGGCGGCGUGCUUAACACAUGCAAGUCGAACGGAAAGGCCCUGCUUUUGUGGGGUGCUCGAGUGGCGAACGGGUGAGUAACAUGUGAGUAACCUGCCCUUGACUUUGGGAUAACUUCAGGAAACUGGGGCUAAUACCGGAUAGGAGCUCCUGCUGCAUGGUGGGGGUUGGAAAGUUUCGGCGGUUGGGGAUGGACUCGCGGCUUAUCAGCUUGUUGGUGGGGUAGUGGCUUACCAAGGCUUUGACGGGUAGCCGGCCUGAGAGGGUGACCGGCCACAUUGGGACUGAGAUACGGCCCAGACUCCUACGGGAGGCAGCAGUGGGGAAUAUUGCACAAUGGGCGGAAGCCUGAUGCAGCAACGCCGCGUGCGGGAUGAUGGCCUUCGGGUUGUAAACCGCUUUCGCCUGUGACGAAGCGUGAGUGACGGUAAUGGGUAAAGAAGCACCGGCUAACUACGUG